Molecule: ribosomal RNA, 403 nt
Filed under: uncultured bacterium
Lineage: Bacteria
Description: partial 16S ribosomal RNA
Rfam family: Bacterial small subunit ribosomal RNA
Source: RNAcentral
AUUGAACGCUGGCGGCAGGCCUAACACAUGCAAGUCGAGCGAGUGGCGGACGGGUGAGAAAUGUAUGGGGAAUGCCAGAUAGAGGGGGAUAACUACUGGAAACGGUAGCUAAUACCGCAUACAAUCGGAUAAAACAAAUGGGAUUAGCUAGUAGGUGAGGUAAUGGCUCACCUAGGCGACGAUCCCUAGCUGGUCUGAGAGGAUGAUCAGCCACACUGGAACGGAGACACGGCCCAGACUCCUACGGAGGCAGCAGUGGGGAAUAUUGCACAAUGGGCGCAAGCCUGAUGCAGCCAUGCCGCGUGUAUGAAGAAGGCCCUAGGGUUGUAAAGUACUUUCAGUCGGGAGGCGUUACCGACAGAAGAAGCGCCGGCUAACUCCGUGCCAGCAGCCGCGGUAAUUC